GGAGGGUCCUGCCAAGUUUCCGCAGUAGGGGAUGCGACGUUGCUGCUGCGUGCGAUCCGAAAUGAGCAAUUUGCAGAGGCUCGCUCUUGAAGAGUACCGUGGGAUCUCGAGCACCUUCAAGCCAACUGCGCAGAGGCCUCACUGUUCCCACUGUGCUGGAAACCCAGCACCAGGGAAAGGAUUCAGUUACAAGGCGGUGAACCUUCGACUUACUUGGAUGCGAACUCUGCCUUGGCACAGGGAGUGCAGCUCUCAUAAGCCUGGAUUACCAACCCUAUUGCACUGCGGCAGUGUAGACGCAAUGCAAGAGCCAAGGACUCACGGACAAACUGGCCACCUUAUUGGACAAGUGAAAUUUCCACCGAUUGCUUUGGAAAGUCAACAGAGGUGAGCAGCGCAGCAUCCCAUGUUAGUCAACAGGGUGCCACCUUCCACGGGAAGCCAGGACAACCCUCGACCGCUCGAGAACAGGGCCAGGGAAAUGGGUCAAUCAUCCACGUGCUCAACUCCUGCCAUGAGAGAUCGGUUCCCCGUGGCAUCGUCACCACUCACUCUGCCUCGUCUGAAGCUGCUAAAUGGAUCGCUAACCUCGACAUCAAACUGCACCUGCUUCCCCAGCCAUACGAAGAAGAAAAAGAUUUGAACUUGGUGUCACAUGUGGUGUAAUUCUCGCGUCGGUGCAAAUUCUAUUUUCGGGCAUUUGCUGAAAAUAAAGAAGCCAAACUUGAUUUGAAGAAAGCCAAUUUGACAGAUUGGCAGAAUAUUAUAAUUAUGAAUGUGUUCUUUUCGUUUAUUUCAUAACACAUGCACAUUUAUAUUUUUAAACGUAAUAAUGUGAUAGUUUUAAUUCAUUUACGAUUUUUAUUCUCCGAAGGAUGUUGUUGCUUUCAUUCAAUAUGCCUCUAUAAUCAUUUUAUUUAAUCUAUUCCCUGAUUUUCGUGGGAAAUUUCUUAGCUGGCCAUUUUAUAUGCAUCAGUCCAAGGGGCACGGUAGUAAAACCCCACAACUUCUCAUCGGAAGGUCCCAAGUUCAAAGCCUCUGGUUAUGGGCCACUUUGUGGAAAGUCAACGCCGGUCGUCCAAAGAAUAAACUCGCCUCUGCCACACUAACGUGGAAUUUACACCACCGCACAUCUCCCAGGGCCAACGACGGAGAUGGCCAUUGCCCCAUACUCAUUGUGUGGAUGGAGACACCAGACUUUCCUUUUUGGCCGGGGCCGACAUCAGGCUACCAUGAGACCUACAAGAAGCUGCUGCUACUGACCCCUUGCGCACAGAAAUUGCCGACACGUGUUGGCACCGACAGCGCGCCCUCCCCAUUCCCUCCUGCCAAUCCCUUCCCCUUGGCUCCCUUCGUAUCCCCUCCCUUGCUGGCUGUGCCAGAACACCCCCGGGGUGCAUUGGAGGUUUGGCGCAUAGCAGCAGCAGCAGCAGCCAGUCAGUGCUCCGCCACCCCCUAGUGUUUUAAGGGAGGUCGUGCCUGUGUUGCUCUUGGGCUGGAAAGCGACGCGCGCUGCCCGUUUGUGUAAUAAGGCAGGAAUGCGUGCAUCACUUCUGAGACACUCGCCGUUGUAUGAAUGCCGUGCACACAUACUCGUGUGCUUGCAAAACGCCGUUGAGCUCAGACUGCAUUUCAAUUACCUCCUUAAUCUCAUUGUCCACGCUCAUUAUUCCGGCGCCACCGCAUCUCAGCAUAGUAAUAUUGGAGCAUGGUUUUGCCGUGUAAAACAAACAAAAAACAUGUUCAGUCGCGUAAUUCAAUCAGUGCCUUACCACUUCGCCCGCAAACGAAUUCGAUGGCUGUGCCCUGAUCCGUAUGCUAGCAGUCAUCGUGAACCAUCGCUCUGCUGUUGCAGUGCGCCUGCAUUUCGUGUCCGUACCACGGGACGUUUAAUACACAUUGUAAGAACAAAAAUACAUAGGAGGCAUUCGUUUUCAAGCAACCCUCGUGAUACUGUGUUUCAUAAUGUGUGUCUGAUGCCAGUGGUGGAAAUACCACGAAUUCCAUGUCAGGUCCCGGUCCCUCCAUUGGAAUUCCUACAGUCGCCUUGUACAAAUGAGUUUUAAUAUCGCUGACACUGAGUGCCAUUCACACGUGGCUAUACACGCGUUAACGUUCAUCAUCGUCAUGGCCACCAGGCAUUGUCUACCUAGUGCUCGAUGAAGGCCUCCCCGUGCCAUAGCCACCCCUCAAAGUCCAUUGCUGCAACCAUCCAUCCCACCCCUGCACAUGGAAAUAUCUCUUCGCCCCAUCUUUGCGUUGGGCUUCCUCUUGAAUGUGUCUUGUCCAUCGGCCAUUCGUGAUGUCAGAAUCAUGAUCUGAAUAUUUAGUCAUACUGGAGGAAUCCGAUAGGGUCAGGUAAGAACGUUACAACAGCAAACAAUACAAACAAAACACGAUAGGAGUCCAAAGUAUGGGAAAUGUAAGCAGAUAUUGCCUUGUCUUGAUUCUCAAUGUGAUGUCUAUGAUGUGUAUCUGUGUCCUGAGCCAUACGUUCAAUUUUCUGUCUGGUCUCUCAAUGUAAAGUUGCAUUCACAACAAUGUUGAGCACUUGAUUGAGUUGCACUUUUUCUCUGCUAAUGAGUAAUUGAGUGACACAAAUCCUGCAUUUAUUGAAUACAUCAAUUCACUCUUCCCUCUCUCCUCAUUAUAUAACGUUGAUUCCUUUACUGCCAGUGAGGCAUCCACAUGAAUCAGUGAAUGAAACUUGUGGUGAAGGUCAAUAGUUCAUCGUGACCUAUACCAUGGAUAGCAUUACACCUUACCAUCGCGUCCUUCCUUCUGCUAGAUCCAGCAGCUGUUGCACUGCUGAUGAACAUCUUCCCAAGGCUACUUUACCAGCAUCUCACUCUCUGUUCUUUCGGUCUUUUCAUUGGUCACCGACCUGUGGGUUCCACUCAAAUGGCCUGCCUCGGUCACAUGCCCUCCACCAUCCUGAACACGUGACCCCCUCCACCAAACUAAACCUCCACUUCCUGAUUAUAUCUGCAACACUUCCUUGCCACUUUCCUCUCUGAACUUCAAACAUAUGUUUUACCCUACCCUGCCACGCAGUUGCCACGAUAUCCUCCAAAAGCUUCGUUAAAGUCUGGCUUUCUCACUGUAAACUAAUAGACGUGAAUUC
Lethenteron reissneri (Far Eastern brook lamprey) is the source of this 3124-nucleotide long non-coding RNA. RefSeq lists it as uncharacterized. The record is from RefSeq and is a predicted model, not a curated record. Lineage: Eukaryota; Metazoa; Chordata; Hyperoartia; Petromyzontiformes; Petromyzontidae.